Molecule: transfer RNA, 86 nt
Filed under: Bacteroidales bacterium
Lineage: Bacteria; Pseudomonadati; Bacteroidota; Bacteroidia; Bacteroidales
Also listed under: 1 other name
Description: tRNA-Leu
Rfam family: tRNA
About the family: Transfer RNA (tRNA) molecules are approximately 80 nucleotides in length. Their secondary structure includes four short double-helical elements and three loops (D, anti-codon, and T loops). Further hydrogen bonds mediate the characteristic L-shaped molecular structure. tRNAs have two regions of fundamental functional importance: the anti-codon, which is responsible for specific mRNA codon recognition, and the 3' end, to which the tRNAs corresponding amino acid is attached (by aminoacyl-tRNA synthetases). tRNAs cope with the degeneracy of the genetic code in two manners: having more than one tRNA (with a specific anti-codon) for a particular amino acid; and 'wobble' base-pairing, i.e. permitting non-standard base-pairing at the 3rd anti-codon position.
Source: RNAcentral
GCGGGUGUGGUGAAAUGGUAGACACGCCACUUUGAGGGGGUGGUGGGCGAUGGCCCGUGGGAGUUCGACUCUCCCCACCCGCACCA